AUGGAAAGAAUCAUGUUAUUUUGAAAUCUUUCACAAAACAGAAAAAUCAGUAAAAAAAAAAGUCAAAAUACAAAGCAAAUAAGGAAAUAUCAUCCAUAAAUACAGCCAAGAAAUAUACAUAUAAAAUCAACCAAGAAAUGACGCAUUAAUCUUAUUAUAAAUUGUUACAAAUCAAAUCAGAAAAACUCCAGAAGAACUCCAUCACCGUUCUUCAAGUCGCCCCGAUACAGAUUUCAAAAUAUAAGAUUUCAAAGUAUAAGGUAUGUAAUAUAAUAUGCAUUCUUUAUUGAUUUUAAUAAAUUAUUUCAUAUUUUAAUUCAUGCUUAAUUCAUAUUUUAAUUCAUGAUUUUAAUUCAUGUUUAUUUUUUAUGCAGAUUUCAAAAAGGUAUGCUUUAUUGAUUUUAAUUAAUUAUUUCAUAUUUUAAUCUCUUACUUGAUUUUAAUAUCUAAUUGCAUAUUUCAAAAUAUAAGACAUAACAUAAAUUUGUGUUAUUGGAAGUAUGAAUUGAAAAAUACAUGACUUGCAUCGGAUUUUAUGCAGAUUUUAAUUUUGGUUUUAAGUUCAUAACGAGAUACAAUAACCAACGAGUUACGGAUUUUAUUUUUGUUUUAAGUUCGAAGUUGAUUUGGUUGUUAAGUUCGUCAAGGCAUACAAUAAACCGACAUAAGGGUGACGGAGUAUCAUUAUACACCCUUUAUGCAUUUAUUUCCUAGCGGUGUACGACGAUAUGAUGUACGAGCUCGAUUGAUUCGUAAUUAAUUAUGAUGUUUUCAAUUACACUAAUCCAUGAACAACUAAGAAAAUUUGUAAUUGCUUUUUUCAAUUUCGGAGUAAGUGUUUUAUAUUAGUCAAUUUUUAUUAUGGUAUUUUUGUACGGAGUAUAACGUAACUUUUUUUUUUCUUUGUGUUUUUUUUUUGGGGUUGGGUGAGGGUGUAUAAUGCAAUAUUUUCUCGCCUCAUGUUAAAAAAUACAUCGAAAGGUUUCAAGAGGGGUUCAUAUAUAUAUAUUUACUUCAUAGAAAAAAUUUCAUUA
Molecule: long non-coding RNA, 1034 nt
Organism: Spinacia oleracea (spinach)
Lineage: Eukaryota; Viridiplantae; Streptophyta; Magnoliopsida; Caryophyllales; Amaranthaceae
Exons: 5
Source: RefSeq, a predicted model, not a curated record